Molecule: transfer RNA, 70 nt
Filed under: Glycine max (soybean)
Lineage: Eukaryota; Viridiplantae; Streptophyta; Magnoliopsida; Fabales; Fabaceae
Also listed under: 1 other name
Description: tRNA-OTHER
Source: RNAcentral
CCCAUUGUCGUGCAGCGGUUAGGGUAUCUGGCUUUCACCAGAGAUCCGGGUUCGAUUUCCGGUAAUGGAA